Long non-coding RNA from Nematostella vectensis (starlet sea anemone), 1514 nucleotides. RefSeq lists it as uncharacterized. The transcript has 2 exons. Lineage: Eukaryota; Metazoa; Cnidaria; Anthozoa; Actiniaria; Edwardsiidae. The record is from RefSeq and is a predicted model, not a curated record.
CGGGUCUCUAGCUUUGGCUUUGAACACAAACUCCCGUGCCGUCUCACCCACAAUGAUCUGCCGCAGAACAUUGUGAUUAAUGACUUGUUAAUCGUUUGGAACAAUUAGCCAGUCUUCUACUAUGCGCUCUGGUGACCACGGCUAUCAAGCCCCUACAAGCAAGUCGAGCAGCAUUUCAAAAAAUGUAAGCAUCGCGUACGUACCGCAACAACAACAACAGAUAUCCCUGCCGCUAGUGCAACGUUCGUAGGAACAUGCUCGGGUCGCAGAGGUCUUUUGAUACUCUCGUCAUCACAGAAAAAACCACGGUUUGAAGGCUCCAACUUGGUCGCAUGUAGAAGUAAGUCAGCUAAACCAAUGACUACAAAACACACAACGUCCAACGUCCAAAACAACUGACGACUCGAGCUCAUUUCGCUUGGUGGGGUGCCUCCACGGUGUAACUGAAAAUACCUGAACAAGCUGAAACUUUGCAACGUACUCCGGACCGUGUCGUCGAUGCAAAUAAUUUGUCCUUGCCCAACAAAAUCCAGAAUAAAUAUUUAUGAACUGACACUCGGUUGAAUGCCGUUGUUAACGCUUUUACUUGUCAUUAGGGAUAUCAGCGUCAUUCUGCGGCAUUUUUGAGUGUUUAGAGCAAACAAAUCCCACAAUGGUUCGCACAAUGUCAACAUCUAGGUCUUUGUCAAAACAGACACUGCCGAAAGCAAUGAAUGCUCGUGAUCCUCCUUUGCUAAGUCAACCAAAAUGGUUCACAAUUCAUGCGGAAAAAGGCUCGAUUGAUUCGUUAUUACUUAACAGUGCAAUGAGAAAAGCAGCUAAGAUUAGAUUUAUUAGCAAAUAAAUGUACCUGUGGUUUAAUAAAGAGUAGCGGACUUUGAGAUUCCCUCGUUGCUUGCAUGAAUUAAUAAAUAAAGGGAAUUCACACACCGUUAUCACUUUCUAAAACAAAACUUCACACACGCAAGGAGAAAUAUGUCCCAACUAAAUAUAACAGUUACUUUUUCAUGUAAAAAAAUACAGCUAAUAAAAGGUACACUGUUCAUAUUUAAUGCCCUCUUUGUUACUAAACCUAGGGGUCUAUACUUUGACAGGAAUGAAAUAAAGUUACAUUGACUGUUUACAACAAAGGGUCAUGAAAUAUUAAAAAUUCCUAUAUAAUCAUCGGUCAAUGUGGACAAAUUGAAUAAGAUAGAAAAGUCUGUAUUUGGUUUCUUGGUGAAAAACAUAAGAUACAACUAUUUAUAAAGAACGAUAGAAUUGUUUUUAAUUUUAGGAUUCAAUAUGUGAAUAAAUAACAUCUUAUUCAAAUUAUAAUUAUUUUUUUUGGCAAGGAAUUAAAAUGGAACACUACUUUAUAUAUUUAUUUAGACUUAGAACUAAAUUGCACAAAAUCCAAAAUUAAUAUUUGAGCAGGCCCUAUAAGACUGCCAAGGGCUGGGCGUGUUUUGAUUUUGACUAAAAAAAAUCAAUCAUAUAAGUUGACUCUUGUUUCAACACAAAAAAAAUGAAAA